This 29-nucleotide non-coding RNA is filed under the name Mus musculus (house mouse). The record is from RNAcentral. Lineage: Eukaryota; Metazoa; Chordata; Mammalia; Rodentia; Muridae.
UAGAAGGUGAACAACAUUCACAGAUGAUG